GGGAAGGUAGCUCAGUGGUAGAGCUCUUGUCUUGCAUGCAUGAGGCCCUGGGUUCGAUUCCUCAGCACCA
Molecule: non-coding RNA, 70 nt
Organism: Dipodomys ordii (Ord's kangaroo rat)
Lineage: Eukaryota; Metazoa; Chordata; Mammalia; Rodentia; Heteromyidae
Source: Rfam